GUUCCCGUAGUUGAAUUACAACGGUGGUUUUUCAAGUCAUUGGUUUCGGUUAGAGUCCGGGCGGGAAUU
Molecule: transfer RNA, 69 nt
Filed under: Maulisia mauli (Maul's searsid)
Lineage: Eukaryota; Metazoa; Chordata; Actinopteri; Alepocephaliformes; Platytroctidae
Also listed under: 5 other names
Description: tRNA-Glu
Rfam family: tRNA
About the family: Transfer RNA (tRNA) molecules are approximately 80 nucleotides in length. Their secondary structure includes four short double-helical elements and three loops (D, anti-codon, and T loops).
Source: RNAcentral